AUGGAAAUUACCGAAGCAAAACACUUGCAAAGACUGGUGUCUCCCUUUUGACAUUCAAUCACCUUCUCGGGGGUGACAGACAAAAGAAUGUAACGUAAUUGGGGCGUGAUUUUGCUUUCCCAUGCCUUAGUUGUUUUUACGGGGGUAAAAACCGUCAGCCUUGCAGAAGGAAUACGAUGCAUUGUCUGCUACCUCAACAUUCUCAAAAAUGGAACUACACAAUUCCACCACAUCUCCCAGCUUGCGAGAUUGUGCCCUCGUUAACACAAGCAGGAAAAACAUGGGGAAAUGCUUGAACCAAUUUAUCAUCUGCAGUUUUGACAUCUGGGUUGUCUACUACUUCUAACACAGGAGUUACGUUACCACCAGCGAUAUUGUUCUCUAGUAGCAAUGGGACUCCUUUUACAGGCAGUGUUGACACUACACCAACACGGAAACGUCCUGAUACCAAGUCUGACACUAAGUGGACCCAGUGUAAUGGUAGAGGUAUGUUUUUUUUGUCUCUAUACCCUGUAAUAUGACAUGCGAGCCACAAUAGGUUUCAGGGGACCGGGUAAAAGCGUCAGUAAUGAUUACUGACUGCACAGUCCUGGUGUCUUGUAAGAGUUGAUCUGCUUGUUCUCCAGUUAAGGGAACAACCAGCAGAUAUAAAACAGAGCAUAGAUAGGAUCCGGUUUCCCAAAUGCUUAAUCAGUAACUCGGUCCAACGGACGAGCCAAAGACGGUACUAAAACCCACGCUUUUUAAUUUAGGGGAUGGUGACAGGGAUUGUUUCGGUUUAUUUUGCAAAACUGGGCAGUCCGCAAUCACGUGACCCUUUUGGUGAAAUCCUGCGACGGCUAGGGUCGUUGUAGGAAAAGAAAAAAAACCUGAACGAGGCACUGAAGAUGUUAGGCUUUCAAAAUGAAGCACACCAGCGUACUCAUCUGCCAACACUGCUGCCUGGGCCAAUGUCGCCACUUUCUGUUCAUUUCAAUGAACUACUACUCUCAGGCAGGUUGCUUUUAAAAUCCUCCAACAGCAUCAACUUCCGAAUAUCAAAGGUGUUAGCGUAACGGGCCGAACACCAGCGAUUGAACAGACUUUUUGUCCCUAGCAAACUCAACAAAAGUACGGUGAGAGGGUUUGUGGUUCCUGAAGCGCUGCCUUUAAGCUUCAGGCACCAACUCAUAAGCCCGCAACACGUUUGUUUUAACUAUAUCGUAUAGUGUAAACUUGUCUUCCAGGGAGAAAGCGGCUAUUACUUCCUGGGCUUUUCCAGACAAUUUACAUUACAACAGGAGCGGCCAAUGCAGCGCAGCGGCCACAUGCUAAAACGCAGAGAAAUAGGAAUCAGCUUCCGAAAUGGAAGGACUAAUGCAAUAUUUUUACUCACUUCAAAGUAGGCUUGAUGAUGGGUAGGUUGUGGAGUUAUCGGAUCCUCACCUCCUUGUCGGCUUAUAUGGCCAUUUUCCUCAUUUCUAAAUCAAACUCCAGCUGGAUAAACACACUUUAUAUUUUAGCUCCAUUUCCAAACAGGUCAGCACCACCUUUAGCCUAGCGGUCCCAUCUGAACAACCCGAAGCAGAAGAUAAAGGGUUGAAAUCGGGGCAAUGUAGAGGAGGUACGAGCAACCCCUUCCUCCGCCUUGGCAUAUGAAGGUCUAUCCGCCUCCCUCAUAUUUCAACAAGAAAUUUCCUUUUCUCACUAAACCCUCCCUGACUAGCACCAACAGCUCAGCCUUUAGGGCUUCCUCAGGGACGAAGAGUCCAUAAUAGUCAGCUAUGGCGCAAAGGUCUACUUUACGAAACCCCACCAACCGAUCAACUGAGGGAGCUUCAAUAAAAUGGGAGUUGGUUGAGGCAGUCAUGGUACACAGCAGCCUACUGAACACAUGUAAAUUAAGUCACCCAAACUCACAACCAAACCUCAGUCUCCAAUCACAGAGAUCAGAGCAGCGGGGUCCUGUGGAUUUAAUAAUCCCGGAUGAGCCCCCCGUUAUGUUACGUACGCCCCCUGGGCGGAGGGAACGCAACACCCUGCUACAACACAACUCCCCGUGGAGUGAAAAAGGUAUGUGAUCGUAGGUGCAGGGGAAGGACAACAGAGACAGAAAAAAAUUACCAUUUACAGUGAAUUUAUUAUUCCUAACACAGAAAUGUGGGGAAAAGGGGCUGGACAGAACUAAAGAAAAUAAAGUAAAAGUUAAAUAGUCCCGUCUCCUACCUACCCACUACUUACCUAAUCUUUUAGCACCUCCUGGCGAGCUAACCAAAAUACAGGGGGUGGUCCGCCCAGGUCUUGCCUAGUGUGCAGACAGUAAAUACUACAGUUUAUGUAUACCCGCAGGCCUCUUGCCUAAACACUCCAAAGGUGCAUUCCCCUUCCCCCCCAGGAACAAAUAAAACAGAAUAAUUACUAACUGAAAGUGAACAAUUUCACUAAUCAAAAACACUAAGCCCUAUUGGCAUACACAUACAGGAGUAGCAGCUACAAAAUACUUCAACAAAACUUUCACGGACUAACAACCAACACAGGACAUCAAAGAAGCUCUCUCCUCCUGACCAAGGAUCACUGGCUUUUAUCCAGCUGUAGAAGGAGUUGGUAAUUGAAGACAGUUGUUUCCCCUGACUAGAGGGAGGGUUCAGAGCGCCAAUCAUCGAUGGGGCCGACCAAUCAGCUGCUUGAAGAAUACAAGAUUCCAUUUCCUGAAAUACACACACACAUAUAUACAAACCCACAACAACACAGAAACUGGGGAGCGUAACAUAGUUUUCUUAUGUCUUACCAGUCACCAUGAGCUUGCAUGUUCCUUAAAAAACAAUAGGCUUUGUUGUAAAGGGUGUGGAUGUUUUUCUUUUGUAAAUUACUGAUGACUCAUUUUAACCACACUUAAUUCUCUAAUCUCUUUCUCCUUUAAUAUACCAGAAAGCUGAGUUGCUAUGGGAACAGGAACUGUAUGUUCCAUUUUGUUACUCUGUAUCUGCCCCUACUGCCACACCUUCCCUGCAAAUGACUGCCAGGUGAGCCUGAACUUUGCAGCUGAGGCAGAGAGGUUCUGUGCAGCCUUGGAGAGACAGAUCCAACAAGCCCCAGAUUUGGAAAGCAACACACACACACACACACACGUCACAUCACAUUUACAAUAUAAUUAGUUCUCUCAGCUUCAGGCAGGCCAGUCCUCUUCUCUUUCUCCCCUCGUCUCCUCUUCCCCGAUCUCGCUGUCUCACGUCACUCUUUCUCAUUUUCUCCCCAUAACACUUUAUUUUACUCUUUAUCUCUUGCUGUCUCUCUUCCUCUCCCUCUCUUUCUCAAACAGAGCUAGUGGGCAGACUCAGCUGAACCGUACUGACAGUGUGGACUCUGCCUCAGGCUGUUUGUGUGAACAGGAACAGAGCCGAUCUGGGAUCAGCACUCCAUCUCCAGAUGUGUCAGAACGAGAAAUAUAUAGGCCAACAUCAGCACACUGGAGCUUAUACAGACCCAGAUAAUUCAUUAUUAGAUGCAUUUUAUGAUGCUGCAUUAGAAUGGAAGAAAAUAUAAAUGGCUGUCUGACUGAUUUAAUCUUGUCUCUUAUCCAGACGGUAGUCCCAGGUGGGAGUGGGCCCAGAGCAAGGCCUCAGUUCUAGUGAGCUGGACCCUGCUCUGAGGAAUCUGCUCAGGAAGGCGGGGCUAAACAAGGAGGAUAUGAAGGACAGACACACCCUCCUCCUAGAGGGGCACACCCUGAGAUGAUCAGAAAGAGCUUUCAUCUGUGACGCAGUGGUGACCUGUCAUUCAGGGCAGAGCCCCACCUGUUAAGCUUUUUGUUGCCUGUUUUUCAUGUUAUUUUGGCAUUAAUACAUGUCACACAUGUUUGCAAACAAUGUAAAAUAAUAAUUGAGUUAAUAAAGCUACAAACA
Long non-coding RNA from Oncorhynchus tshawytscha (Chinook salmon), 3881 nucleotides. The record is from Ensembl. NCBI's taxonomy places the organism in Eukaryota, Metazoa, Chordata, Actinopteri, Salmoniformes, Salmonidae.